Molecule: transfer RNA, 71 nt
Filed under: Ovis aries (sheep)
Lineage: Eukaryota; Metazoa; Chordata; Mammalia; Artiodactyla; Bovidae
Rfam family: tRNA
About the family: Transfer RNA (tRNA) molecules are approximately 80 nucleotides in length. Their secondary structure includes four short double-helical elements and three loops (D, anti-codon, and T loops).
Source: Rfam by way of RNAcentral
UCCCUAGUAGCUCAGAUGUAAAGCAUCUGCUUGCAAUGAAGGAGACCUGGGUUCAAUCCCUGGAUUGGGAA